GGACGAACGCUGGCGGCGUGCUUAACACAUGCAAGUCGAGCGGUAAGGCCCUUUCGGGGGUACACGAGCGGCGAACGGGUGAGUAACACGUGGGUGACCUGCCCUUAGCUCUGGGAUAAGCCUGGGAAACUGGGUCUAAUACCGGAUAUGACUCCAUGACGCAUGUUGUGGGGUGGAAAGCCUUGUGCGGCUAGGGAUGGGCCCGCGGCCUAUCAGCUUGUUGGUGGGGUGANGGCCUACCAAGGCGACGACGGGUAGCCGGCCUGAGAGGGCGACCGGCCACACUGGGACUGAGACACGGCCCAGACUCCUACGGGAGGCAGCAGUGGGGAAUCUUGCGCAAUGGGCGAAAGCCUGACGCAGCGACGCCGCGUGGGGA
Molecule: ribosomal RNA, 379 nt
Filed under: uncultured bacterium
Lineage: Bacteria
Description: bacterial SSU rRNA
Rfam family: Bacterial small subunit ribosomal RNA
Source: RNAcentral